AAAUUGAAGAGUUUGAUCAUGGCUCAGAUUGAACGCUGGCGGCAGGCCUAACACAUGCAAGUCGAACGGUAACAGGAAGCAGCUUGCUGCUUUGCUGACGAGUGGCGGACGGGUGAGUAAUGUCUGGGAAACUGCCUGAUGGAGGGGGAUAACUACUGGAAACGGUGGCUAAUACCGCAUAACGUCGCAAGACCAAAGAGGGGGACCUUCGGGCCUCUUGCCAUCAGAUGUGCCCAGAUGGGAUUAGCUAGUUGGUGAGGUAACGGCUCACCAAGGCGACGAUCCCUAGCUGGUCUGAGAGGAUGACCAGCCACACUGGAACUGAGACACGGUCCAGACUCCUACGGGAGGCAGCAGUGGGGAAUAUUGCACAAUGGGCGCAAGCCUGAUGCAGCCAUGCCGCGUGUAUGAAGAAGGCCUUCGGGUUGUAAAGUACUUUCAGCGGGGAGGAAGGUGUUGUGGUUAAUAACCGCAGCAAUUGACGUUACCCGCAGAAGAAGCACCGGCUAACUCCGUGCCAGCAGCCGCGGUAAUACGGAGGGU
RNAcentral lists this ribosomal RNA (543 nucleotides) under Salmonella enterica. Its description in RNAcentral is "bacterial SSU rRNA". It matches the Rfam family "Bacterial small subunit ribosomal RNA", at positions 1 to 533 of the family's 1533-position model. Lineage: Bacteria; Pseudomonadati; Pseudomonadota; Gammaproteobacteria; Enterobacterales; Enterobacteriaceae. The record is from RNAcentral.